AGUGUUGCACAGUGGCAAUGUCAUAGCCAAUGAGGUUUAUCUGAGGCGUAAUCAUUGCUGAUUGAAAAAAUUUUUAAUUAAUUUAUCUAUUUGUGAGCAAAGACCAUAUGGGCAACCCAGGGU
Molecule: small nuclear RNA, 123 nt
Filed under: Jaculus jaculus (lesser Egyptian jerboa)
Lineage: Eukaryota; Metazoa; Chordata; Mammalia; Rodentia; Dipodidae
Description: U4 spliceosomal RNA (ENSJJAG00000002765.1)
Rfam family: U4 spliceosomal RNA
About the family: U4 small nuclear RNA (U4 snRNA) is a component of the major U2-dependent spliceosome. The structure of U4 snRNA from yeast and human has been reported.
Source: Rfam by way of RNAcentral